RNAcentral lists this transfer RNA (72 nucleotides) under Camelus bactrianus (Bactrian camel). It matches the Rfam family "tRNA". Rfam says of the family: Transfer RNA (tRNA) molecules are approximately 80 nucleotides in length. Lineage: Eukaryota; Metazoa; Chordata; Mammalia; Artiodactyla; Camelidae. The record is from Rfam by way of RNAcentral. RNAcentral also lists the same sequence under 2 other names.
GAGGAUAUAGCUCAGUGGUAGAGUGCAUGCCUAGCAUGCAUGAGGUCCUGGGUUCAAUCCUCAGUACCUCCA